RNAcentral lists this ribosomal RNA (253 nucleotides) under uncultured bacterium. Its description in RNAcentral is "partial 16S ribosomal RNA". It matches the Rfam family "Bacterial small subunit ribosomal RNA", at positions 524 to 776 of the family's 1533-position model. The record is from RNAcentral.
UACAGGGGGCUCGAGCGUUAGUCGGAAUCACUGGGCUUAAAGGGUGCGUAGGCGGCUCGCCAAGUGCUUUGUGAAAUCCCACAGCUCAACUGUGGAACAGCAGGGCAAACUGGCGAGCUUGAGGCAGGUAGGGGCCGGAAGAACAGUUGGUGGAGCGGUGAAAUGCGUAGAUAUCGGAAGGAACAUCAGUGGCGAAAGCGACUUCCUGGACCAGUACCGACGUUCAGGCACGAAAGCGUGGGGAGCAAACAGG